UGGGGAAUCUUGGACAAUGGGGGCAACCCUGAUCCAGCCAUGCCGCGUGAGUGAUGAAGGCCUUAGGGUCGUAAAGCUCUUUCGCCUGUGAAGAUAAUGACGGUAGCAGGUAAAGAAACCCCGGCUAACUCCGUGCCAGCAGCCGCGGUAAUACGGAGGGGGUUAGCGUUGUUCGGAAUUACUGGGCGUAAAGGGCGUGUAGGCGGAUCGGUCAGUCAGUGGUGAAAGCCCCGGGCUCAACCUGGGAAUUGCCUCUGAUACUGCCGAUCUAGAGUCCGGGAGAGGGUAGUGGAAUUCCCAGUGUAGAGGUGAAAUUCGUGGAUAUUGGGAAGAACACCAGUGGCGAAGGCGGCUACCUGGACCGGUACUGACGCUGAGGCGCGAAAGCGUGGGGA
This 395-nucleotide ribosomal RNA is filed under the name uncultured bacterium. RNAcentral describes it as "bacterial SSU rRNA". It matches the Rfam family "Bacterial small subunit ribosomal RNA", at positions 355 to 767 of the family's 1533-position model. The record is from RNAcentral.